Molecule: unclassified non-coding RNA, 811 nt
Filed under: Utricularia leptoplectra
Lineage: Eukaryota; Viridiplantae; Streptophyta; Magnoliopsida; Lamiales; Lentibulariaceae
Description: partial contains tRNA-Leu (trnL) gene and trnL-trnF spacer region
Rfam family: Group I catalytic intron (bases 1-415)
About the family: Group I catalytic introns are large self-splicing ribozymes. They catalyse their own excision from mRNA, tRNA and rRNA precursors in a wide range of organisms.
Source: RNAcentral
CUUUCAAAUUCAGGGUAACCCCGGAAUAAUAAAAAAAUGGGCAAUCCUGAGCCAAAUCCUGUUUUAUCAAAGAAAAAGUUCAUAAACCGRMMAAARGKAUAGGUACAGAGACUCAAUGGAAGAUGUUCUAGCAAAUGGGGACACUGGUAAAGGAAUCUUUACACUGAAACGUGAGAAAGGAUCAAGGAGAAAUCGAUCUAUUGAAUACUAUAUCAAAYYAUUAAAAUCAACCCGAAUCUCUAGAUGUAUUUUUUGAUAUGAAAAAUAUAAAAUUUGGUGUGAAUUCAUUCAGUAUUGAAUAAAAAUCGAAUUUUUAGUCAUCAAAUCAUUCACUCCAUAGUCCGAUAAACCUUUUCAAGAACUGAUGAAUCAGACAAGAAUAAAGAUAGAGUCCCCUUCUACAUGUCAAUACUGACAACAAUGAAAUUUAUAGUAAGAGGAAAAUCCGUUGACUUUUAAAAUCGUGAGGGUUCAAGUCCCUCUAUCCCCAAACAAGCCUAUUUGACUCUCAAAAUCUUUAGCCUACCCUACACCUUUCGGUUACAAAUUCAUUUAUUUUUCUGGUUCUUUGACAAAGAUAAACGUAGGUGGACGUAAAUGACUUUCUCUUCUCACACGCGAUAUAGAAUACACAUCCAAAAUGAUUCACAAUCAAUAGCUUUACGAAUACUGAAAAAGUGGUCUUUUUGAAGAUCAAAGAAAUUAAAGUAUUUGGGGAAAAAUUUGUAAUAUACCCCUUUCCUUUAAUUGACAUAGACCCUAGCCAUCGACUAAAAUGAUAAAAUGAGUAUGGGUUACUACGCAGGGAAUG